GCCGCCGGACAGGCAGUCGCUCCCGGAAAAACGGGGGAGGAAAGUCCGGUCUCCACAGGGCAGCGUGCCGGCUAACGGCCGGGAGGGCCGCAGGGCUCUACGGAAAGUGCCACAGAAAAGAUACCGCCUCAGCAAUGGGGUAAGGGUGAAAAGGUGCGGUAAGAGCGCACCGCGGCGGGAGUAAUUCCGCCGGCAGGGAAAACCCCACGCGGAGCAAGACCAAAUA
This 226-nucleotide RNase P RNA is filed under the name Terriglobia bacterium. RNAcentral describes it as "Solibacteres bacterium partial RNase P RNA component class A". It matches the Rfam family "Bacterial RNase P class A", at positions 1 to 234 of the family's 367-position model. From Rfam's summary of the family: Ribonuclease P (RNase P) is a ubiquitous endoribonuclease, found in archaea, bacteria and eukarya as well as chloroplasts and mitochondria. Lineage: Bacteria; Pseudomonadati; Acidobacteriota; Terriglobia. The record is from RNAcentral.